Molecule: ribosomal RNA, 315 nt
Filed under: Triticum aestivum (bread wheat)
Lineage: Eukaryota; Viridiplantae; Streptophyta; Magnoliopsida; Poales; Poaceae
Description: partial small subunit ribosomal RNA
Source: RNAcentral
AUGCCGACCAAGGCCAGGCGGGCGCCAGGCGGGCGCAGAGCGCAGAUUUCCUCUUCGGUGCAAAGGAGGCAAGCCACAGGCGCGGAGUCCCGAGGAACCAGCCAAAGGUUUUCAUUCUGGUGCAACAAGAUUGAGACCGCCAGGACGGCAGGACGGAGGUCAUCGACGAGCCCACCGCAGCGUCACGAGCAAAGGCUUUUCGCAGGAGAAGACUACUUUUGUCAGGAUAAGCUGUACUACUUGUCCCCUUUCAAAUCCGGCCAUUGUGGGAUCCCUUCCCGCCAACAUUUGGGAAGAGGACCAAGGCCACUAUAA